UCCAUUUAUCACAUAAACUCAAGUUGGGAAGGGAUAAUUUUGCACAAGAAACUUGUGUUUUUUAGGAGUCAAUUUGUGUCCCAAAAGGGUGGGAAUAGGGAUUCAAAAAAGGAACGAAAGGGUGGCGUCUGUCCUGAGGAAGUUUCCCCGUGUGGUAGAGGAGACAUUGUCCUUGCCCUAAGCGAACAGCAAUAAGUUUGUCGUUCACGUUACAGGAGGAGGCAAAGCUAUUCUCCAAAAGCUGUAGCUCCAAAGAAUUCUCAGUUUAGCUCUGUGGUGAGCACCCACCUCCUUCCCCCACUGUUUGGGUCUGAGAGCAGUGUGGCCAGGGUGGGAAACAUUUCUUGAGUGUAGGAGAAACGUUGAACCCCAUUUAACCCAAAUGGACUUUGGAAUCCCGAUGUAUGAGUCAAGAGUGCUUGUGGGGGAGGGAGGAAGAGGAAGGAAUAUUUUUAGUAAAGCUGGAGUCCAAAAAGGAAUGGGUAUUUAAUAAUGAGAAAUAUCCUUGACCAUUUUCUUCUUCUGGGAAGAAAAUGGUCAAGGAUAUUAGGUUGAAAUAAGAGCUAUAAGGCUGGAAAGUGGAGAUCAGGCUUCAAGAUUUAACCUCCCUGAAGGAAUGAGAGGAACGAGGUUUGGCUGAGAGUGGCUUGGUGGAAUCCAAGCAAGCUCAGGCACUAAGUCAGGGUAUUGGACCUCAGUUUCAACCAGCUGAGAUAACUUACCCCAGGCACAGAAUUUAGAACAAAGCAACCUGACUGAAAUGCUAAACAGAGGACUCUGAAGAGUUAAAAGUCCCAGACAUUUAGCUUGCACGCACUCUUCUUGAGGAUAUACUGGGCUAUUAUUAACACAGGCAGAUUUAGUAUUUAGUAUUUAACUUUUAUUGCUUAGUAUAAAUAUAUUAGAAUAAGUGGGUUGAAAACUUAUUUGAAGAUGUCUCAUAUUUCUUUUUUAUGCCCCUUCUGUCCCUUCAUGCAUUUAAUUUCACAUUAUCACUCUGUAUUUUAUACUAACUGCUGUUCUCCUGAGGUCACUCAUGGAUGUUCUGGAUCCCUGAUUAGUGGUAAGAACCUCAUAUUAAGAACAUAUCUCAGUUUAUACCAUACUUUCUAAUAGUGCCCAAUGGUGUUUUUACCUGC
RNAcentral lists this long non-coding RNA (1139 nucleotides) under Marmota monax (woodchuck). Lineage: Eukaryota; Metazoa; Chordata; Mammalia; Rodentia; Sciuridae. The record is from RNAcentral.